UGUGUGCGCUGUUUUGGUCAC
Non-coding RNA from Caenorhabditis elegans, 21 nucleotides. The record is from Ensembl. Lineage: Eukaryota; Metazoa; Nematoda; Chromadorea; Rhabditida; Rhabditidae.